Long non-coding RNA from Toxotes jaculatrix (banded archerfish), 1377 nucleotides. RefSeq lists it as uncharacterized. The record is from RefSeq and is a predicted model, not a curated record. NCBI's taxonomy places the organism in Eukaryota, Metazoa, Chordata, Actinopteri, Toxotidae. The transcript has 3 exons.
CCAACGCCCAGAAACAAAGAACAACAUGUCCACGCUGACAAACAUGUCAACACCCUGAAACACAUAGAGACGUAGUUAAACACAAGCGUAUAAACACUGGUAAAGGUCACAAUCUGCUGCCUUCUCUCCUCUCCUGCCCUCUGCCCUCUCCCCAGUCAGCUCAUGGUUGGUUAUGUACUGUGCUGUGCAUCGUCAUCUCACACUCAUCCUCAUCUCAGCUGGGCAGCAGUUGAGCUAUGUGAAGUUAACAUCAAGGCUUCAGCACUGUUUGCUAGGAAUUUUCAUGUAAUGAGGAUGUGUAAAGCUGAGGGGCUUCACUUCAAAAAGCCGGACUGUGAUCAUGGAGCACGUUGUAGACUGUUAAUAACCUAACUAGUUGGUGAAUGAUGUCACUGAGGAAGACGGAGCUAUGGUUUUGAAAUGAAACCCUCCAGCUGCAGGCAUGUGUUUGACACCAGAACAUGCUCUUAGUCAUGAUACACUGUACCACCAGGAGGAAGAGAUCUCCAUUUUCUAACAAGAUCCUGGGUGAGGGUUUGGAAGUUUGCACUUUGUGAACUUGAGCUCUUAGUGCACAUUUAACCACCUCUGCAUUUCCAGCCAGACAGCUGUGUUUGCAUUACAGCAUCAAAGUCCACCAUUACACCCAUCAUGUCGGUCCUGAGACCGACUGUAAUUCAGUCGACGUUAGCAGAGCCCAGAGCUGAGCCAGAUGAAUGAGACUGGGCCGUACAGCACGCAGGAUGCCACAGAAAUACACAGACAACCACUAAUAUACUGGUCCCUCAGCAGAACCUGUAGUCGAGUGUUGAAUGUUCCCCAGAAUCUCAGGAUUUUUGGAAUGGAGAUCUUUUCCUCUGGUGUCUCAUCUCUUGAUCUACCACUUAAAGGUAUCCAUGCAUACUGUAACCUACUGUGUUUGACUGCCUUAGUCUCCCAUGGAGAGAGGGGCAUCAUGGGAGUCUGUGGACACUACACUGUGAUUGGCUAUCCUUCCUUAUGUGUGUUGCCAGGACUUUGAUGGGCACAGGGAUCACCACACCGUGAGCCUGGGCUUGUCAUCCCAACCCAGGAGGAGCCAUUUCUCGGUUGUAGCAUCUCUUUUUAUUUGGUUUAAACCACCCCCCCACCCCACCCCACCCCCCUCCCCUGCAAAAAAUAGGAUUUUUUUUUUCAUGUACUUCAUUUUUGUUUUUGAGAUGAAUUUUAUUUUCUCCUAAGAAUUUUACCUUAUUGAUUUUAUUUUUAAGAGCAUUGUUAUCUUGGACAUUGGUUGGAAGAGGUUUUCAAAAAAAUAAUGCAAAAAAAGCAAAAGAAAGAAAACAGAAUGGGCACAAUAUCAGUCAUUUCAAAAUAAAAAUUGAUGUUUUUUCCAAA